CGCGGGAUGGGGUAGUGGUCGAGCCUACGGGCCUUCAGCCCGUGACGCGGGUUCAAAUCCCGCUCCCGCAACCA
Molecule: transfer RNA, 74 nt
Filed under: Candidatus Bathyarchaeota archaeon
Lineage: Archaea; Thermoproteati; Candidatus Bathyarchaeota
Description: tRNA-Glu
Rfam family: tRNA
About the family: Transfer RNA (tRNA) molecules are approximately 80 nucleotides in length. Their secondary structure includes four short double-helical elements and three loops (D, anti-codon, and T loops).
Source: RNAcentral